RNAcentral lists this ribosomal RNA (465 nucleotides) under uncultured bacterium. Its description in RNAcentral is "partial 16S ribosomal RNA". It matches the Rfam family "Bacterial small subunit ribosomal RNA", at positions 28 to 507 of the family's 1533-position model. The record is from RNAcentral.
GACGAACGCUGGCGGCGUGCUUAACACAUGCAAGUCGAACGGAAAGGCCCUGCUUGCAGGGUACUCGAGUGGCGAACGGGUGAGUAACACGUGGGUGAUCUGCCCUGCACUUCGGGAUAAGCUUGGGAAACUGGGUCUAAUACCGGAUAGGAGCCAUCUUUAGUGUGGUGGUUGGAAAGUUUUUUCGGUGUAGGAUGAGCUCGCGGCCUAUCAGCUUGUUGGUGGGGUAAUGGCCUACCAAGGCGGCGACGGGUAGCCGGCCUGAGAGGGUGUACGGCCACAUUGGGACUGAGAUACGGCCCAGACUCCUACGGGAGGCAGCAGAGGGGAAUAUUGCACAAUGGGCGCAAGCCUGAUGCAGCGACGCCGCGUGGGGGAUGAAGGCCUUCGGGUUGUAAACUCCUUUCGCUAGGGACGAAGCUUUUUGUGACGGUACCUAGAUAAGAAGCACCGGCUAACUACGUG